AAAGGAGCAAUCCGCUUUGAGAUGGCCUCGCGUCCGAUUAGCUAGUUGGUGAGGUAACGGCCCACCAAGGCAACGAUCGGUAGCCGGACUGAGAGGUUGAACGGCCACAUUGGGACUGAGACACGGCCCAGACUCCUACGGGAGGCAGCAGUGGGGAAUAUUGCACAAUGGGGGAAACCCUGAUGUAGCGACGCCGCGUGGAGGAAGAAGGUCUUCGGAUUGUAAACUCCUGUUGUUGAGGAAGAUAAUGACGGUACUCAACAAGGAAGUGACGGCUAACUACGUGCCAGCAGCCGCGGUAAAACGUAGGUCACAAGCGUUGUCCGGAAUUACUGGGUGUAAAGGGAGCGCAGGCGGGAAGACAAGUUGGAAGUGAAAUCCAUGGGCUCAACCCAUGAACUGCUUUCAAAACUGUUUUUCUUGAGUAGUGCAGAGGUAGGCGGAAUUCUCGGUGUAGCAGUGAAAUGCGUAGAUAUCGAGAGGAACACUCGUGGCGAAGGCGGGUUCCUGGACAUUAACUGACGCUGAGGCACGAAGGCCAGGGGAGCGAAAGGGAUUAGAUACCCCUGUAGUCCUGGCAGUAAACGGUGCACGCUUGGUGUGCGGGGAAUCGACCCCCUGCGUGCCGGAGCUAACGCGUUAAGCGUGCCGCCUGGGGAGUACGGUCGCAAGAUUAAAACUCAAAGAAAUUGACGGGGACCCGCACAAGCGGUGGAGUAUGUGGCUUAAUUCGAUGCAACGCGAAGAACCUUACCUGGGCUUGACAUGUAAUGAACAACAUGUGAAAGCAUGCGACUCUUCGGAGGCGUUACACAGGUGCUGCAUGGCCGUCGUCAGCUCGUGUCGUGAGAUGUUUGGUUAAGUCCAGCAACGAGCGCAACCCCUGUUGCCAGUUACCAGCACGUGAAGGUGGGGACUCUGGCGAGACUGCCCAGAUCAACUGGGAGGAAGGUGGGGACGACGUCAGGUCAGUAUGGCCCUUAUGCCCAGGGCUGCACACGUACUACAAUGCCCAGUACAGAGGGGGCCGAAGCCGCGAGGCGGAGGAAAUCCUGAAAACUGGGCCCAGUUCGGACUGUAGGCUGCAACCCGCCUACACGAAGCCGGAAUCGCUAGUAAUGGCGCAUCAGCUACGGCGCCGUGAAUACGUUCCCGGGUCUUGCACACACCGCCCGUCA
This 1178-nucleotide ribosomal RNA is filed under the name uncultured bacterium. RNAcentral's name for it is "bacterial SSU rRNA". It matches the Rfam family "Bacterial small subunit ribosomal RNA", at positions 202 to 1399 of the family's 1533-position model. The record is from RNAcentral.